This 301-nucleotide ribosomal RNA is filed under the name uncultured bacterium. Its description in RNAcentral is "partial 16S ribosomal RNA". It matches the Rfam family "Bacterial small subunit ribosomal RNA", at positions 509 to 809 of the family's 1533-position model. The record is from RNAcentral.
CAGUAGCCACGGGAAUACGUAGGUGGCAAGCGUUGUCCGGAUUUAUUGGGCGUAAAGCGAGCGCAGGCGGUUCCUUAAGUCUGAUGUGAAAACCCCCGGCUCAACCGGGGAGGGUCAUUGGAAACUGGGGAACUUGAGUGCAGAAGAGGAGAGCGGAAUUCCAUGUGUAGCGGUGAAAUGCGUAGAUAUAUGGAGGAACACCAGUGGCGAAGGCGACUCUCUGGUCUGUAACUGACGCUGAGGAGCGAAAGCGUGGGGAGCGAACAGGAUUAGAUACCCGCGUAGUCCCUGUCUCUUAUAA